Molecule: long non-coding RNA, 534 nt
Filed under: Homo sapiens (human)
Lineage: Eukaryota; Metazoa; Chordata; Mammalia; Primates; Hominidae
Description: novel transcript
Source: RNAcentral
AACUACAACUGUCUAGUUUCUUCUCUGUGUCUUUCACUGGGCUGUGAGUUCCUUGAGAGUAGCGACGGUGUCUUAUUCAUCUUGGGAUCUCCAGCUCUCACAUCAGGGCUCAAGACAAAAAUAGAGAGAAUUCAGAAGAAUGUGAACCACACGUGUCCAGUUCCAUUUUCCUCAGCUCACAUCUUUCAAUAAGCCCACUCCACCCUGGGGUAGAGGAAGAGGGCUGGAACAAGACACAAAGCCUAUACCACAAAGAGGGGGAGGAAAAACUAAGGUGGUAAAGUAGCUGCUUCCAUGAUUCAUCUUGCCAACCUAGAGGAGAGACAUGCUGUGGAGGGGAGCAGGGCCAGGGGCCAUAACACAGAAGAGAGAUGGGGCAGCAUAGGCUGCAUCUCACACCACCUUGUUCUCUACCUGCAUUUGGCACAGAGCUUGGGGUAGCCACAUGAUCCAGUUCUCUCCAAUGAGACCUAAGGUGAAAUCUGUUGAUGAAAUUUCUGGUGAUUUUUUUUAAAUAAAAAGGAACAGAUGCUG